Long non-coding RNA from Amphimedon queenslandica, 409 nucleotides. RefSeq lists it as uncharacterized. The record is from RefSeq and is a predicted model, not a curated record. The transcript is spliced from 2 exons. NCBI's taxonomy places the organism in Eukaryota, Metazoa, Porifera, Demospongiae, Haplosclerida, Niphatidae.
UAUCAUGCAGGUAGCUACAUAUGUACGUGUCUGUCUGGAUUGACUGGAGAUUUUUGUGAAGAAAAUAUUCCUACUACAACAGUUGAUGAUGCUGAUAAUGUUGGUCUAGCUGUUGGAUUGACUGUUGGGAUAUUGAUUCCUCUUGUCAUUGUGACACUGAUUGCUGUUAUUGUCCUGGUACUUGUGAUUGUUCGACGUAAAAGAAGCAAAAAGGAAAGUGAGAGAAAAUAUACAGAUCAACAAGAAAUGAAACAAGUGCCAAAAAAUGUGUACAACUAAUAGUAGAUAGCUCCAAGUAACUAUAACGCUUCAUAUCAUUAGUUGAUUUAGUUAGCUGCUACACUCUUUUAUAUGCUGUUUUUUAGUUUCUUUCGUGAAUUGUUUUGUAGCUAUCAUUUUUUAAUAAUUA